This 107-nucleotide small nuclear RNA is filed under the name Moschus moschiferus (Siberian musk deer). The record is from RNAcentral. Lineage: Eukaryota; Metazoa; Chordata; Mammalia; Artiodactyla; Moschidae.
GCGCUCACUCUGGCAGCACAUAUACUAAAAUGGGAACGAUACAGAGAAGACUAGCAUGGCCCCUGUGCAAGAAUGACAUGCAAAUUUGUGAAGGGUUCCAUUUGAAA